RNAcentral lists this ribosomal RNA (644 nucleotides) under Streptomyces sp. 4122_6. Its description in RNAcentral is "bacterial SSU rRNA". It matches the Rfam family "Bacterial small subunit ribosomal RNA", at positions 100 to 758 of the family's 1533-position model. Lineage: Bacteria; Bacillati; Actinomycetota; Actinomycetes; Kitasatosporales; Streptomycetaceae. The record is from RNAcentral.
GAACGGGUGAGUAACACGUGGGCAAUCUGCCCUUCACUCUGGGACAAGCCCUGGAAACGGGGUCUAAUACCGGAUAUGACCAUCUUGGGCAUCCUUGAUGGUGUAAAGCUCCGGCGGUGAAGGAUGAGCCCGCGGCCUAUCAGCUUGUUGGUGAGGUAAUGGCUCACCAAGGCGACGACGGGUAGCCGGCCUGAGAGGGCGACCGGCCACACUGGGACUGAGACACGGCCCAGACUCCUACGGGAGGCAGCAGUGGGGAAUAUUGCACAAUGGGCGAAAGCCUGAUGCAGCGACGCCGCGUGAGGGAUGACGGCCUUCGGGUUGUAAACCUCUUUCAGCAGGGAAGAAGCGAAAGUGACGGUACCUGCAGAAGAAGCGCCGGCUAACUACGUGCCAGCAGCCGCGGUAAUACGUAGGGCGCAAGCGUUGUCCGGAAUUAUUGGGCGUAAAGAGCUCGUAGGCGGCUUGUCACGUCGAUUGUGAAAGCCCGAGGCUUAACCUCGGGUCUGCAGUCGAUACGGGCUAGCUAGAGUGUGGUAGGGGAGAUCGGAAUUCCUGGUGUAGCGGUGAAAUGCGCAGAUAUCAGGAGGAACACCGGUGGCGAAGGCGGAUCUCUGGGCCAUUACUGACGCUGAGGAGCGAAA